This 139-nucleotide unclassified non-coding RNA is filed under the name soil metagenome. RNAcentral's name for it is "partial internal transcribed spacer 1". The record is from RNAcentral.
UCAAAACAGCGGCCUUUGGGCCUCGCUGCACCCUUGUCUUUUGCGCACCGUAUUGUUUCCUCGGCGGGCUUGCCUGCCGGUUGGACAUCAUAAAACCUUUUUGUAGUUGCAAUCAGCGUCAGAAAAACAAUAAUUAUUA